This 253-nucleotide ribosomal RNA is filed under the name uncultured bacterium. RNAcentral's name for it is "partial 16S ribosomal RNA". It matches the Rfam family "Bacterial small subunit ribosomal RNA", at positions 524 to 776 of the family's 1533-position model. The record is from RNAcentral.
UACAGAGGGGGCAAGCGUUAUUCGGAAUUAUUGGGCGUAAAGAGCUCGUAGGCGGUCUGUUGCGUCGGCUGUGAAAACCCGGGGCUCAACCCCGGGCCUGCAGCCGAUACGGGCAGACUAGAGUUCGGCAGGGGAGACUGGAAUUCCUGGUGUAGCGGUGAAAUGCGCAGAUAUCAGGAGGAACACCGGUGGCGAAGGCGGGUCUCUGGGCCGAAACUGACGCUGAGGAGCGAAAGCGUGGGGAGCAAACAGG